Zootermopsis nevadensis is the source of this 4186-nucleotide non-coding RNA. The record is from RefSeq and is a predicted model, not a curated record. Lineage: Eukaryota; Metazoa; Arthropoda; Insecta; Blattodea; Termopsidae.
GAAAGAACAACAAACUUAUAAGGUCGGUGGAAUUGCCUUGCCACUUAAUUGUUUUCUCAAGUAUAUAAACCGUGUUUAGGAUAAAUAUCAGUGCGUGUGAAUCUUUCUUAUCCGUGUUUCUAGUGCGUGUUUUGUUAUAGUGCCAUAUUAAACUCAGUUUUACUUGAAAGGAGGUAAUUAAAACUAACCUGUCUGAAGUUUAACUAGGCGAGUGUACUUGUUACGUUGAAAUACGAAAACUGACACACUACAAAAAUUUUAAUUCUUUGAAUUUAGGCAACUAACUGAAACAUUAGCAAGUUUGUAUGCAAAUGGGAUUUAUCUCGUACUAAAGGAGUGUGACACAGAAAAGGAGCCUGGAGCUAUUAAUGGCAAAAAUAUCAUUUGGAAUAGACGCGUUGCUGCAGAUUACUCCAUGGCAACAGAAAUUCAUCUAUCAGUAUCGAGAAUUGCCAUUCAUAUGAGGAAAGUAACCACGUGGGUAGUUAGAAACGUCUUCUCUUCCACCAUGUAAAGGGCGGCUUAAGAUAUUCGGUGCCAUACAGAAAUAGAGAAGUUCAUCGGUGUAAAUCGGUGGACUCGAAAUUGACUGCAGAUCCUCCGCGAAGUGCCAGCACCGAGAACGCGCAGGGAGCCGCGUUCUUGCGCGUCAUAAAUCCGUGGUCUUCAGUUUCAAUGGAAAUUCUUCUGUGAUGUUGGCGUGAGACGACAUUAACAAUGAUAUUAUUCUGAAGACGGAGAAAUACGAGUCGCCAGAGCACAUGCUGGAACCGCCUUCAUUUUACAUGGGGUUUCCUGAUCUUCAAUUGGUGAAUACGUACUGUUCUGCAUACGUAAGGAAGUACACAGCUGGUCUACCGUCGGUCGGUGAUGUGGAGUGCAGUGACAUUUCACCUCUGGCCUGCGGCAACGACACAACAUGAAUAUGCACAAGGUUCUGGUAUUCGCACACAUCUUCAAAUUUUAGAGGAGGUGAGUUGAAUCAGGAAUAUGACCGCCAUGCCAGACUCAUUUCUCCUGGAGUGGGUAUCCUUCCAGUACCAGAUGUGGGAUGCCCCAAUCCCAGAAUGCCUGGCGUCAUCUUCCGCCCGUAUCUAAUCAACAUUACUUUUUUCCUUCAUUACGUAAGUAGAUCGUAUUCUCCAAACAUUUCAAAUGGAACGAGUGACUUUGGGUGCAAUAUCUUCCAAUAAUUACAUUCUACAAACAUUAAUUAAGUAGAUUCACAUCCAGUAUUUCUUUCUGAGACGUUGUCUGUUGUCAGAGGAGAUUCUGCACUUUCCCAGACAUUUUAAUAAGUAGAUGUUGUUUGCAUAUUAAAUUCUACGAUGUUCAAGAUUGGUUAAGUGUGUCAUGAGUGACGUAGAAUUAUUUCUAAAAUCCUUAUUUAGAGCAGAAUGUAUCCAUCAGGACUAUAAGAGAAACAAGACUUGCUGACGAAACAUAGACUGAGCAAUAUGGGAUGAUGAAAAAUUUCGCUUCCAAAUAAACCGUGGCAGAUAAUUAAUUAACUUUUGAAUCUGAAGCUCGUCUGAAUAAACAACGUCUAUAAAAUUUAGUCCGUACCUUGAAGAAGAAACUGCAAAGUUCCUUUGCAAAUGUCGUCUACUUAACGCUGUUUGGGCUACUAUAAGAAUCGUACGAAACCCAUAAAUAUAAAUAAAUUUUGAGGGGCAGAAUGUGGAGUUGCUGAUAAUUGAGAGUACAGUUACCACUGAUUUUGUUCUGAAGGGUUAAUAACCCGUUGGAAUAUCCCUAUUAUCAAUAAGAGAAUUUCUUUGUGUUGAGAAUCACUGCUAGUAACACAGGUCGGUUCUAUUUUGCACCCUGCAAAAGAAUUAAUUUGUAUGUUAACAUUUUCAUGAGACUUGGGAAUGAUAGCAGCUCUGAAGUUGAAAUAACGUGAUCAAACUUUGUGAAACAAGAUCACGGUCCUUGUGUGACAGAACUCUUGUUGACCUGUCCAUUGUUUCAGGGAGUCUCACCUUGUUUUCCUCUUUUUCAACCUGGAGGGUCUCUUAAGGAUACUGUGGAUGAACAUACAAUGACCACGGCCCCAAAUCGCUGGCACCGCCAUCCCCCCCUCACCGCCCGAUAAAAUGACUGUUUAUAUCCAAUAUUUCAGGCAUAAAAACACACACAGCACAUACAAACAGGCAGGCAGUACUGCAGCGAUUCGCGAAACCACCCUCCCCCUUCCCAAUCCCCCAACCCUUCACCCAGCCACGUGAUAACAAUACAAUCAAUGACCGAAGCCUGUCACCAAUGUGAGCCAUUCGCCCCUCCCCUAACCACCCACCCCCCCUGUCCGCCUACUGCCGCCAACACAAAUUGUGUGGAGUGUUGUAUGUGGAUCGAGUGCUGGGGUGGGUUGUUAUUGAACCACCAGGUGUAGUGGUACAGUAUUUGCAGCCUGGACCAAGUUUUAGCAGUGUCCGGAGAGUUGGGUAUCGUACGGUCGUCGUCGGUCUGGUGACGACGAGCUGUCAAGACCGAGGAAACUUUCUGGAAACCCCCUACCCUCCUCAGCUUGAGAGGCUGCUCCGGGAAGAGAGAAAUCCGAGUCUAUUGGCCAACCAUCAGAUUUUACACUACACGAUCAUCGAGAAAUUGCCUAAAUCAUCUCAUUUUGUCCCAGUCUAGCUGAUGCAGCAUAGUGGCGUAACAUGUCUCUAUAUUCAAUAAGUUGAAGAUUUCUUCCAUCCAGAAUUCGCAUCAGCGGAAGACCAGAAAUCUGUCGUCCUGGAGACGAUGCUUCUGAAGGUAUCAACUGCAAACACACGGAGAAGUGGCUGAGUAUUUUAUCGGUGUCAUUCACAACAUUAGUUAUUUAUUUUAUAAAAUAAAUUAUGUAGCACAUGUGAUGUACAUUGUGACCACAACUUUAUAAAUCAGUGAAGACACAUCAAGCGCGAUGAUACUAAAUCCAGGACACUCGAGUAGAGUCCUUGAUUGGUUAGACUAGUGUAAAAUACUGGACGGAAGGCGUAUCUUCGAACAAGUUGCAGUCCGGGCCCAGAUGAUAAGCUUUCACUGAUUUGUGAGCACAAAGCACCAUUAUACAUUCAUUAUUCUGUAAUGUCGUGUAUUAAGACACGUAAAUCUUUAAACACAUGUUCUUACAUACAUGCACAAAUAGUCCUAUGCUAAAUUUCCUUCGAACGUCUUCGUAACUACAUCAGUAAAGUUUGACUGUGUAGUUCUUAGGUGAAAUAAAUUGUUGGUAUUUUUAAUAACACAAUUAAUAAUAGUUAUUUUUUAAAUGAGUCCUGCUAGCGAAAUAUUUACGAUUCUUAUUAAACACGUAAACAGUGAAAUUUAUUUCACAAAAGUAGGAAUUUGCUGUUAGAUAUUGUGAGAGCCUAAUUACGUAUUCACUUAGUAUUACUAGGCCUAAUAUUCAGAUAGCGAUAAAAAGUUUUUCAGACCCUUCAAGUGGUCAGAACUUUCAUCGUUCAAUAGGCUUAUUCCUUACGAUGUUCGUUUUGCGUAGCUGUAAAGAUUUGAAAUAUAUCAUAAAAUUUCUGCAAGAAAUCAAUUUCCGACCCACCGAUUAAAGACGUGCCACCUUCUCUGGUGUACACACUACGGUCCAGUCAUAGUCGGAAGCACACGAAUUGCAUACCUUUAUAAGCAAUGGCAUCUUAGCGAAUAAUGUUAUAAACGUCGAGUAAAAAUAAGAUCUUAGCUUGGUUUUACAAUCGCUGAAAAUAGAAAUUACUUGUCCUAUGAAUAAAAUUUGGUGCAAUACUAACUUAAAUUUUAAAUUUCAUUUAACAGUAACAGAAUAUUUCACCAAGUUCUUAUUAAGUCCGUUGCUCAAUGUUUCUGCCUCAUUCAUGUAUUUAUUUCCUUUUAACUACACGUGUAUUAAUUUACGUGUCUAUUUAUUAAGCCCUAAUUUUUGCGAAAUUUUAUUUCUUACACGUGUUUUAUGAGAAAAUAAUUAAAGGAACGUCAUAAUCAGGGAAAUAUAAUUUUUCGCCUUCUUUAUUUCCUGGAUAACUAAAUGGACGCUAUUUUCGGAAGCUGGCUCAAUAACUAACCACAGAUUAAAAGAAGCUCUAAGGGGUUCUAUUACUAUGUAUCCUCAACACACCUUCAAUAAAAUGUGUUACAAUUCUUUCAAAAACGUAUUAUUAAAAGGCUUGUUAAUUAUGCAUAAUACACCGACGGAAAGUAAUUU